Molecule: ribosomal RNA, 1382 nt
Filed under: Heliocephala natarajanii
Lineage: Eukaryota; Fungi; Ascomycota; Dothideomycetes; Myriangiales
Description: eukaryotic LSU rRNA
Rfam family: Eukaryotic large subunit ribosomal RNA
Source: RNAcentral
UGGCCUCGGAUCAGGUGGGGAUACCCGCUGAACUUAAGCAUAUCAAUAAGCGGAGGAAAAGAAACCAACAGGGAUUGCCUCAGUAACGGCGAGUGAAGCGGCAAGAGCUCAGAUUUGAAACCUGCCGACCGGCCGGAUUGUAAUCUGCAGAGGAACGCUCGGCGGAGGGUGUGGUCCAAGUCUCCUGGAACGGAGCGCCUGAGAGGGUGAGAGCCCCGUACCGGACCACGGGCCGAAGCCGUGUGAGCGUCCUUCGACGAGUCGAGUUGUUUGGGAAUGCAGCUCUAAAAGGGUGGUAAAUUCCAUCUAAGGCUAAAUACGGGCCAGAGACCGAUAGCGCACAAGUAGAGUGAUCGAAAGAUGAAAAGCACUUUGGAAAGAGAGUCAAACAGUACGUGAAAUUGUUGAAAGGGAAGCGCUUGCGACCAGAGGUGGGUGCGGCCGCUCAGCCGGACAUUGUCCGGUGCACUCGGCCGCGCCCAGGCCAGCAUCGGUUCCCGCGGGCGGACAAAGUCGCCGGGAAGGUGGCCCCUCUCGGGGGGUGUUAUAGCCCGGCGCACAAUACGCCCAGCGGGGACCGAGGGACGCGCAUCAGCUCGGAUGCUGGCGUAAUGGUUGCUAGCGGCCCCGUCUUGAAACACGGAACCACGGAGUCUAACAUCAGUGCGAGUGUUAGGGUGGCAAGCCCUGGACGCGCAAUGAAAGUGAACGGAGGUGGGAGCUUCGGCGCACCAUCGACCGAUCCGGAGGGUCUCCGAAGGAUUUGAGUAGGAGCACGGGUGUUGGGACCCGAUAGAUGGUGAACUAUGCGUGAAUAGGGUGAAGCCAGAGGAAACUCUGGUGGAGGCUCGCAGCGGUUCUGACGUGCAAAUCGAUCGUCAAAUUUGCGUAUAGGGGCGAAAGACUUAUCGAACCAUCUAGUAGCUGGUUCCUGCCGAAGCUUCCCUCAGGAUAGCAGCAACGAGUUCAGUUUUAUGAGGUAAAGCGAAUGAUUAGAGGCCUGGGGGUUGAAACAACCUUCACCUAUUCUCAAACUUUGAAUAUGUAAGAAGCCCUUGUCACUUUGUUGGACGGGGGCAUUCGAAUGUAGCGUUGCUAAUGGGCCAUUUUUGGUAAGCAGAACCGGCGAUGCGAGAUGAACCGAACGCGCGGUUAAGGUGCCGGAAUGCACGCUCAUCAGACACCACAAAAGGUGUUAGUUCAUCCAGACAGCAGGACGGUGGCCAUGGAAGUCGGAAUCCGCUAAGGAGUGUGUAACAACUCACCUGCCGAAUGAACUAGCCCUGAAAAUGGAUGGCGCUCAAGCGUGCUACCCAUACCGCGCCGUCGGGCCUGAGAUGAGGGCCCGACGAGUAGGCAGGCGCGGGGGUCGGUGACGAAGC